AUGGAAAUUCGGGCAAACGCUAGGAAAAAUAAAGAAACUUCCGGCAGAUUUAUGAGAAAAUAUGUUAAAAUCAGGUUAUUUCUUUACAAUUCAUAAAAAUUGGGGCAAACUUUCAACUGCCCCCCCCCCCAAAAAAAAAACAUCAGCCCCGUUCUCCUAUGCAUGCGUAUUGAUGGAUUUCUCUCCUAUGCAUAUUGCGUAUUGAUGGAAAUAACCUGAUUUUAACACAUUUUCUCAUAAAUCUGCCCAAAUUUUCUUGAUUUUUCCUAGCGUUUGCCCGAAUUUCGAUGGUUUUCCAAAAUUUUGGGGGGCCAUUGCCCCCCCCCCCCCUCGCUGUCUCGUACGCCUAUGUCAAUAAGGUAUUUACAACACAAACAUAAUACGAAGCCAAAGUGAAAG
Paramuricea clavata is the source of this 399-nucleotide non-coding RNA. The record is from the annotation of a GenBank genome assembly. Lineage: Eukaryota; Metazoa; Cnidaria; Anthozoa; Malacalcyonacea; Plexauridae.